This 77-nucleotide transfer RNA is filed under the name Clostridiales bacterium. RNAcentral describes it as "tRNA-Arg". It matches the Rfam family "tRNA". From Rfam's summary of the family: Transfer RNA (tRNA) molecules are approximately 80 nucleotides in length. Their secondary structure includes four short double-helical elements and three loops (D, anti-codon, and T loops). The record is from RNAcentral. Lineage: Bacteria; Bacillati; Bacillota; Clostridia; Eubacteriales.
GGACCAGUAGCUCAGUCGGAUAGAGCAACGGCCUUCUAAGCCGUGGGUCAGGGGUUCGAAUCCCUUCUGGUUCGCCA